RNAcentral lists this ribosomal RNA (493 nucleotides) under uncultured bacterium. Its description in RNAcentral is "partial 16S ribosomal RNA". It matches the Rfam family "Bacterial small subunit ribosomal RNA", at positions 28 to 507 of the family's 1533-position model. The record is from RNAcentral.
GACGAACGCUGGCGGCGUGCUUAACACAUGCAAGUCGAGCGGUGAAGGGACCGGUUUUUGCUGGUUCUGGAUGAGUGGCGAACGGGUGAGUAACACGUGAGUAACCUGCCCCCUUCUUCUGGAUAACCGCAUGAAAGUGUGGCUAAUACGGGAUAUUCUGCGCCUGCUGCAUGGUGGGUGUGGGAAAGAUAUUGUUUCGGUGGGGGAUGGGCUCGCGGCCUAUCAGCUUGUUGGUGGGGUGAUGGCCUACCAAGGCGGUGACGGGUAGCCGGCCUGAGAGGGUGGACGGUCACACUGGGACUGAGACACGGCCCAGACUCCUACGGGAGGCAGCAGUGGGGAAUAUUGCACAAUGGGCGCAAGCCUGAUGCAGCGACGCCGCGUGAGGGAUGGAGGCCUUCGGGUUGUAAACCUCUUUCGCCAGUGAAGCAGGCCUGUCCCUUUUGUGGGUGGGUUGACGGUAGCUGGAUAAGAAGCGCCGGCUAACUACGUG